RNAcentral lists this ribosomal RNA (467 nucleotides) under uncultured bacterium. RNAcentral's name for it is "partial 16S ribosomal RNA". It matches the Rfam family "Bacterial small subunit ribosomal RNA", at positions 28 to 507 of the family's 1533-position model. The record is from RNAcentral.
GACGAACGCUGGCGGCGUGCUUAACACAUGCAAGUCGAACGGAAAGGCCUCUUUCUGGGGGUACGCGAGUGUCGAACGGGUGAGUAACACGUGAGUGACCUGCCCUUUACUUUGGGGUAACUUCAGGGAACUGGGGCGAUUACCCGGUAUGAGCUCCUGCUGCGUGGUGGGGGGUGGGAAGUUUCGGGGGUGGGGGGUGGACUCGCGGCGUAUCAGCUUUGUGGGGUGGUGGUGGCAUAACAAGGCUUUGACGGGUAGCCGGACCGAGAGGGUGAGCGGCCACAGUGGGACUGAGAUACGGCCCAGACUCCUACGGGAGGCAGCAGUGGGGAAUAUUGCAAAAUGGGUGGAAGCCUGAUGCAGCAACGCCGUGUGCGGGAUGACGGCCUUCGGGUUGGAAACCGCUUUCGCUCAUGACGAAGCUUUGUGUGACGGUAGUGGGUAAAGAAGCACCGGCUAACUACGUG